RNAcentral lists this ribosomal RNA (468 nucleotides) under uncultured bacterium. Its description in RNAcentral is "partial 16S ribosomal RNA". It matches the Rfam family "Bacterial small subunit ribosomal RNA", at positions 28 to 507 of the family's 1533-position model. The record is from RNAcentral.
GACGAACGCUGGCGGCGUGCUUAACACAUGCAAGUCGAACGGAAAGGCCCUGCUUUUGUGGGGUGCUCGAGUGGCGAACGGGUGAGUAACACGUGAGUAACCUGCACUUGACUUUGGGAUAACUUCAGGAAACUGGGGCUAAUACCGGAUAGGAGCUCCUGCUGCAUGGUGGGGGUUGGAAAGUUUCGGCGGUUGGGGAUGGACUCGAGGCUUAUCAGCUUGUUGGUGGGGUAGUGGCUUACCAAGGCUUUGACGGGUAGCCGGCCUGAGAGGGUGACCGGCCACAUUGGUACUGAGAUACGGCCCAGACGCCUACGGGAGGCAGCAGUGGGGAAUAUUGCACAAUGGGCGGAAGCCUGAUGCAGCAACGCCGCGUGCGGGAUGACGGCCUUCGGGUUGUAAACCGCUUUCGCCUGUGACGAAGCGUGAGUGACGGUAAUGGGUAAAGAAGCACCGGCUAACUACGUG